Molecule: ribosomal RNA, 1263 nt
Filed under: Sirthenea flavipes
Lineage: Eukaryota; Metazoa; Arthropoda; Insecta; Hemiptera; Reduviidae
Description: 16S ribosomal RNA
Rfam family: Archaeal large subunit ribosomal RNA (bases 533-1263)
Source: RNAcentral
GGUUAUUAGUUUAUUUAUUUUUUUAUAUUUUUUAUUUUAUUAGAAAUAACUUAUUUUUAAGUAGGGUUUACUGAAUUAAUUUUUUUAAUUAUAGCUAAUUGUACUGUGUAGGAUUACUUUUAAUUGAAUAUAAGUAGUUUUAAUUUGAUGUACCUUUUGUAUCAGGGUUGAUUAAAUUUUAUUAUUUAUAUAAUUUUCCCGAAAUUGAAGGAGAUAAAAUAGGGUGUUAGUUAAUGUGACAUAAUUAUUGAUUAUCCUAUUUUAGUAACGAAAAGUUAUUCGUCUUUAAAUAUCUGGUUUUUCAGGAAUUAAAUUUAAUUUAGGAUUAUUAAUUGACAUUUUUAAUAUUUAAUUUAAUUUGUUUUAAUGUUCUAAGAUUCUCGGGGAUAAGCUCGGGUUUUAUUUCUAUAAUUAUAAUUUUUUUUGUAAAUAUUGUAGGCUUAGAAUCAGCCAUCAAUAAAGUUCGUUAUAGAUUAUUUUUCCAUUCAUUUUAUUUUUUAUUAAUUUAGAUUUAUACUGAAAUAAUUCAAUUAAUUUAAUAUUGUUUGUGAUAAUGAUUAAAUUAGUAUAUUUGAUAUUUAGAGUGUAGGAAUUCGGCAAAUAUUAUACUCGCCUGUUUAACAAAAACAUGUUCUUUUGUAUAAUUUAUAUAAGAUUUGGCCUGCCCAAUGAAUCUUUUUUAAUGGCCGCGGUAUUUUAACCGUGCUAAGGUAGCAUAAUCAUUUGUCUUUUAAUUAAGGGCUAGUAUGAAGGGUCGGACGAGGUAUAUUCUUUCUUCAUUCUUAAUAUUGUAAUUUAUCUUUUUAGUUAAAAGACUAAAAUUUAUUUAUGGGACGAGAAGACCCUAUAGAUCUUUAUAUUUAAUUUAAUUAGAUUAUUUAGUUAUAUUUAUUAGUUAUUUAAUUAAAUUAUUUAUUUGGUUGGGGUGAUUGCAGGAAUUUUAUAACUCCUGUUUAUAUAAUUCAUUAAUUAGUGUUUAGAUGAUCCAUUAUUAUUGAUUAUAAGAUUAAGUUACCUUAGGGAUAACAGCGUAAUUUUCUCGGAGAGUUCUUAUCGAUGAGGGAGUUUGCGACCUCGAUGUUGGAUUAAAAUAAGUAUUAGGCGUAGCCGUUUAAUUACUAGGUCUGUUCGACCUUUAAUUUUUUACAUGAUCUGAGUUCAGACCGGCGUAAGCCAGGUCGGUUUCUAUCUAUAAUAGUUUAACUAUAAUUUAGUACGAAAGGACCAAUUAUAGGGGAUAAUCUUUUUUUAUUGAUUAAUAUU